CCCGCACAAGCAGUGGAGUAUGUGGUUAAUUCGAAGCAACGCGAAGAACCUUACCAGGGCUUGACAUCCCCUGACCGCGUAUGAAAGUACGUUUUCACCCUCGGGUGACAGGGAGACAGGUGGUGCAUGGUUGUCGUCAGCUCGUGUCGUGAGAUGUUGGGUUAAGUCCCGCAACGAGCGCAACCCCUACGUUUAGUUGCUAACGCGUGAAGGCGAGCACUCUAGACGAACUGCCGUUGACAAAACGGAGGAAGGUGGGAUGACGUCAAAUCAUCAUGCCCCUUAUGUUCUGGGCUACACACGUGCUACAAUGGCCGGUACAGACGGACGCAAAGCCGCGAGGUGGAGCAAAUCCUAAAAAGCCGGUCUCAGUUCGGAUUGCAGGCUGCAAUUCGCCUGCAUGAAGUCGGAAUCGCUAGUAAUCGCAGGUCAGCAUACUGCGGUGAAUACGUUCCCGGGCCUU
RNAcentral lists this ribosomal RNA (463 nucleotides) under uncultured Pelotomaculum sp. RNAcentral describes it as "bacterial SSU rRNA". It matches the Rfam family "Bacterial small subunit ribosomal RNA", at positions 920 to 1382 of the family's 1533-position model. The record is from RNAcentral. Lineage: Bacteria; Bacillati; Bacillota; Clostridia; Eubacteriales; Desulfotomaculaceae.